This 305-nucleotide unclassified non-coding RNA is filed under the name Pseudomonas delhiensis. RNAcentral's name for it is "Pseudomonas sRNA P20". The stretch from base 102 to 305 matches the Rfam family "PhrS". Lineage: Bacteria; Pseudomonadati; Pseudomonadota; Gammaproteobacteria; Pseudomonadales; Pseudomonadaceae. The record is from RNAcentral.
GAACUUGAUCUGGAUCAGUUAUCCGAAGCCCCGUGAACCGGGGCUUUGCGGCCAUUGAUCCAGGUCAAUAUCGCGCCCCCGGCCGACGCUAACCUGAGCCCAUCUUCAAAACGCACAGGGAUCCAGGAGGCCAGCAUCAUGUUCAUCGACGAAGUGGUUCUCGCCGGCAUUGUCACGGUUGGUCUGAUGAUCCUGUUCUGCGGUGGAGUCGGAUAUUUCAUCUGGAAGGACAGCCACAAGAAGGGCUGAUUUCCUUCCCGAUCACAGAGCACGCAAGGCACUUGGGGCGACUUCGGUCGCCCGUU